UACAGAGGUCCCAAGCGUUGUUCGGAUUCACUGGGCGUAAAGGGUGCGUAGGUGGUGAGGUAAGUCGGAUGUGAAAUCUCCAAGCUCAACUUGGAAACUGCAUUGGAAACUACCUUGCUAGAGGAUUUGAGGGGGGAUUGGAAUACUUGGUGUAGCAGUGAAUUGCGUAGAUAUCAAGUGGAACACCAGUGGCGAAGGCGAAUCCCUGGAAAAUACCUGACACUGAGGCACGAAAGCUAGGGGAGCAAACAGG
Molecule: ribosomal RNA, 253 nt
Filed under: uncultured bacterium
Lineage: Bacteria
Description: partial 16S ribosomal RNA
Rfam family: Bacterial small subunit ribosomal RNA
Source: RNAcentral